Molecule: long non-coding RNA, 1722 nt
Organism: Canis lupus familiaris (dog)
Lineage: Eukaryota; Metazoa; Chordata; Mammalia; Carnivora; Canidae
Exons: 3
Source: RefSeq, a predicted model, not a curated record
CAGAAGGAGAAGCAGUGUCCCUGCAGGGAGCCUGAUGUGGGACUCCAUCCCAGGACUCCAGGACCACACCCUGGGCCGAAGGCAGGCGCUCAACUGCUGAGCCACCCAAGGAUCCCUAAUAUCAGGCUUUCAAGCAGAAUGGAAGCCAUGGAGAUGUCCCAGUUGGAUCCCCUUUGAAGAAUGUAAUUGCUGUGCAGAUACAGGGAGCGUGGAUAGCUGACAGCCCCCAGCUGCAUCACCUGCUGGAUCAGUCUGAGUUUCAAGCUGAGGCCAUUCUCUUCCUGAACAGCUUCCCUUCAAGAAUGCACAAUGGUGGAGGAAUUAGGACAAGUCAUUUCUGCCCAUUGUAAGGAUCUAACAUUGAUGAGUAGGAUGGCCAUCUAAAUUGCUGGUAGGAUGUCUCAUAGAAGCCUAGAAAAAGAAUGUCCCAUGCUGAGGUAAGUUGAAAUGCUUGAAUUACCGUGACAGAUAAUGGAAGACUCGACAAAAGACUCAGGAAAAUGGCCAUACCGGAAUGGAUACACUAUGUGAGUCCAAAAGACCAUCAGAAAAUUAUGCUUCAAAGGAAGACUCAGAAGACACGGCACUCACAGAGGCUAUUGGGAGUGUGCUGAUAGAGGGUCGCUAGCGUUACUCAGAGGCCUGGUCAGACGUGACUCUAGGAGAGUCUGAUAGGGCCUGACGUAUUGAUAGCCACGGGGAUAGCAGGGCAUCAAAGCAACAGAGGCCAGUGGCAACCCUCAAUGGCAGGGGUGGUCACAAGGACUGUAAUGAGGAGUGAGUGGCAUUCAACAGAAGAUAGUUAACAUAACAGCAUUCCUGAGAACACAACAUGUGAGGCUGUCGCUCUGCUGAAUAUCCAUAAUCAAAAGAAAGUAAGAUUGAAAGAGCAGAAGGCUAAGGGUGGUCAUUCUAAAUAAAGUCAUAACCCUUUUCUCAAUGUACAGAAUUCCAAGUCAAUUUUUUGGCCAAGAUGAACGGAUUGAGGUGCUCAAUUCCCAAAUAGAAGCAUUCACAAUAAUUACACAGGGAAACAAUUCUCUCAGCAUUUCCCCCUUCAGCUGCAGCUGUUUACUAAGGUGAUACACUUGGAAAUGGGACACUCGAGCAUUUCAAGAGCAACUGGACACAGAGUUUGAGUUACGUCUGAUACUUAUGACCCCGAAGCCUCAUCAUGCCUUCUCUAUUAAAACAGGGGUGGCCAUGAGGCAAGCGAUGAUUAAAGUUAUGACCAAAGUCUGGUUUGUGGAACCAAUGUCCUGAAGACUGACCCAUUGGUUAAAUCUCCCAGGUUCUGAAGCGUAGUUGAACUUGAAAAUCUUGGCAGUUGGAAUAUACUCAAUAAAAUCAUCCAUCGUGGAAGAGGCAUUGAAGAACGAAAUAGACAAAAUGGCCAUCAAUUGAUGUUUUACUACCUUUGUCUUCACUCAACUCCAGAAAUGACACAGCACACACACAAGUGGAGUGGCCAUAUGCAGACUUAUGUGAGUCCAACAGCUUGGGCUCCCUAAUGUCAAAGUAAUCCAGCUGCUGUAUCUCCUGAAUCUCUAAUCUCUCAGCAACAGCCAACUCUGAAGCACUAGUAUGAAGCUAUUCCCUGAGGAAUUCAAUAAGUUAUAUUGAGGUUCUUCUCUCCUUUCUCAUAAAUGUAAACAAUUAUUCCAAGAAUGGGUUUGCCUUUCUUGCCCAUAAACCUUCAACCACACCAACAUCCAUGGUAAC